UACGUAGGUCGCAAGCGUUGUCCGGAUUUACUGGGCGUAAAGAGCGCGCAGGCGGCUGGUCAAGUCCGAUGUGAAAUCUCCCGGCUCAACUGGGAAACUGCAUCGGAAACUGAUCGGCUUGAAGGUGGGAGAGGGUAGUGGAAUUCCCGGUGUAGUGGUGAAAUGCGUAGAUAUCUGGAGGAACACCGGUGGCGAAGGCGGCUGCCUGGGCCUGGCCUGACGCUGAGGCGCGAAAGCGUGGGGAGCGAUCCGG
RNAcentral lists this ribosomal RNA (253 nucleotides) under uncultured bacterium. RNAcentral describes it as "partial 16S ribosomal RNA". It matches the Rfam family "Bacterial small subunit ribosomal RNA", at positions 524 to 776 of the family's 1533-position model. The record is from RNAcentral.